This 253-nucleotide ribosomal RNA is filed under the name uncultured bacterium. Its description in RNAcentral is "partial 16S ribosomal RNA". It matches the Rfam family "Bacterial small subunit ribosomal RNA", at positions 524 to 776 of the family's 1533-position model. The record is from RNAcentral.
UACGAAGGGGGCUAGCGUUGCUCGGAAUUACUGGGCGUAAAGCGCACGUAGGCGGCUUCUUAAGUCGGUGGUGAAAUCCUGGAGCUCAACUCCAGAACUGCCUUCGAUACUGGGAAGCUCGAGUCCGGGAGAGGUGAGUGGAACUGCGAGUGUAGAGGUGAAAUUCGUAGAUAUUCGCAAGAACACCGGUGGCGAAGGCGGCUCACUGGCCCGGUACUGACGCUGAGGUGCGAAAGCGUGGGGAGCAAACAGG